This is a non-coding RNA of Camellia sinensis, 2578 nucleotides long. The record is from RefSeq and is a predicted model, not a curated record. NCBI's taxonomy places the organism in Eukaryota, Viridiplantae, Streptophyta, Magnoliopsida, Ericales, Theaceae.
UCAAAGGAUUAUUCCUUGUGCUCUCCUCAGGGCAUAAGCUUUGCACCCAUUUCAAAACAAUGUUUUGGACAUGAGUUGUCAUGAAUACUUGGUUGGUGUAUCAGAUUUUACAUGGAAUCUUACAGAACAUAAAUGGAAGCAUUCAUAGAUCCAUGCUUAGGUUAUUGCUAAUACGAUGCAUGACAAUGCUAUUGUGUGUGGUAUGUGAUUUAGAUGACGAGGACACUCCAGUUGUUAAGAAUUUUGGGGAUAGAGCUUCACACGGCUUUCAGUUGGAUGGAACUCUUCAUGAAAAGAAACUAGCUUAGAAAAGUGAAUCAUCCUAUGAAGAGAUAAAGAGUAAUGUGCAGAAGGAACUGGGUUAUGAAGGUAAUGAGAAAAAUGCAUUCAGAAGAACACGCUGCUCGUGCUGCUCUUUACCUUGAGCUUGAGAAGGAGAGAAGUGCUGCUGCUACAGCUGCAGAUGAGGCCAUGGCUAUAAUACCGCGUCUACAAGACGAGAAGGCAUCCAUAGAAAUGGAAGCUUGGCAAUACCAGAGGAUAAUAGAAGAAAAAUCUGCUUAUGAUGCUGUAGAAAUGAACAUCUGUAAAGAAAUUCUUGUGAGGAGACAGAAAGAGAAGCAUUUCUUGGAAAGGGAAGUUGAAGCUUAUAGGCAGAUGAUUCAUAUUGGAAAUUAACAGUUACAAGAUGACAUUCAGUAAAUGGUGAACAUGCAGAGAGAACAGGCUGAUGCUCCAACAGCUAGUGAAUCCAUUGACAAGAAGGAAAUUGUAAAAGAUAAAAGUUCAGUUAAUGAGGUAUUGUCUAUUGAUAAGCAAAACUGUACACCCCUGCUCUUGGAGAGGAAUUAUGAAUUUCCGAAUGGGAUGAAGAAGCUGAUUUUCAAGCAAGUAUAUGUAGAGAAAUCUAUAGUUUCUGGUCUGCAGAAAAAUUUGAUGUCAGCAGCUGACAAUGAAAGAUUGAAAAUUGACAUGGAAGUUGAGUUACUCGGAGAGAGGUUCAGCAUUGUCCAGGAACAAAGACAGAAGCUCAACUUCUCUGUGCACUAUCAGGAAAGGGAAAAAUUUCAACUGCAACUUGUAGAAGAUAUAGCAUAACAACUUCGAGAGAUUUGACAGCUAACAGAACCUAGAAAGGCCGUGCACAAAGCUUCUUUGCCCCUGCCAUCCUCUAAGGGUUAGUCAUCUGGGCUGAACGUAUUGGUUGUCUUCAGACAUUCGCUUCAUCCAUAGAUCUGCUGCAUUCAUUUUAACAGGAUUGUGGGAUCCUCUCUAACAAAAGACAUCAUCAUCGAAUGCAGUUCGCUGGAUCAUUUUCUUGGGUUCCAAGAAUUGCUGCAACAAGCGGAUAAGAGACACCGUCGUCAAUAGCUUCUUCAGCAGUGGGGGGCUGCUGCUCAACAAGGCCAGGGAUUGGCUUUUCCAUGAUUGGUCUUCCAAUGGUCAAGAUAUAUAGGAUACGGAAAAUGAGCUCUACAAGGAAGGAAGGGUGUCAGAGUUUAUGGACCGGAAAUUGAUACCAUCGGCUGUCCUUGAUCAGGUACAAUUGUGCGUACAUAUUGGGAUAAUGUGCACUGAAUAUGAUCCAGAACUACGACCCACCAUGGGUCGUGUUUACUCAAUGCUGUCAGAGAACCAUAGCAACAGCAGCACCCUAUUUGAAGAACCGAUGAGAGAUGGAUCAUCAUCAACAUCAUCCAUAGCUCGAAAUUCGGGUGAGUCCAAUUCCCAUAUCUAUUCUGUUUAAAACUGAUCAUAGUGCUACUGCCACUUCCAAGUGCCCUUUACGUUCAAUGAUUUUCCUCUAAUAAUUUCUUUCUAGUUGACAAAAUACUAGCUUUAUCUAGUCCAACUAGUGUUUUUUUGCAUGAGUGUUUGUGGAACCCAUUACAUAGCAAAAUUUUCACCUUCUGUACCUCAAAUCAAAAUAUUUGUAAGCUAUCUUGUACUAAAUCAAAAUAUUCCUAUAUAAUUUAUUAUUUGAUUCUGCUUCUCCUAUAAUGUACCCUACACAAAAUAUAUAAUUUUGUCACAAAAGUUCUAACAUCAAUUACAAAAUACGUAAUCUCAUCACAAAUUAGCUUAACAAAAUGUCCAAAAUUUUGUGAUUAAUGUUGCAAAAGUUUAUAGUUUAGUUAUGACAUUUUUUGUUACGUCAAUUUGUGACAAACUUAGCAUUUUAAGAUUGAUGUUAUAAAAUUUUAUGAUAAAAUUAUACAUUUAGUGGUACGAUGCAUAUGGUAUGCACACCUAAAGGAGUGCACACCAUAGCAUUUUCGAAAGAAUUUUUUUUAUUAUUAUUUCUUGUGUGAUGUUUUGGUAUGACUAAUCAGUCCUUUUUAGCUAUAACUAAAAAGGAUUUAUUGAUGACAUUUGUGGUAAUAAACAAAAAAAUCACAAAUGUCAUAACUUGUAUAUACAUAUUUUAGCCUGACCCUAUAUAUAUAUACACAUACAUAGACCUCCUAUAUAUAUAUACACACACAGGCCUACAAAAUAAACAACUAUUGUGAUGAACUUCACAGACUCAACUAAAGUGGAGAAGAGAAGCUAGUUCCACAUGUAUAGGGGUGUAAUU